RNAcentral lists this ribosomal RNA (497 nucleotides) under uncultured bacterium. RNAcentral's name for it is "partial 16S ribosomal RNA". It matches the Rfam family "Bacterial small subunit ribosomal RNA", at positions 28 to 507 of the family's 1533-position model. The record is from RNAcentral.
GAUGAACGCUGGCGGCGUGCCUAAUACAUGCAAGUCGAGCGAACAGACGAGGAUCUUGCUCCUCUGACGUUAGCGGCGGACGUGUGAGUAACACGUGUAUAACCUACCUAUAAGACUGGGAUAACUUCGGGAAACCGGAGCUUAUACCGGAUAAUAUAUUGCACCGCAUGGUUCAAUAGUGAAAUACGGUUUUUCUGUCACGUAUAGAUGGAUCCGCGCCGCAUUAGCUAGUUGGUAAGGUAACGGCUUACCAAGGCGACGAUGCGUAGCCGACCUGAGAGGGUGAUAGGCCACACUGGAACUGAGACACGGUCCAGAGUACUACGGGAGGCAGCAGUAGGGAAUCUUCCGCAAUGGGCGAAAGCAUGACGGAGCAACGCCGCGUGAGUGAUGAAGGUCUUCGGAUCGUAAAACUCUGUUAUUAGGGAAGAACAAAUGUGUAAGUAACUAUGCACGUAUUGACGGUACCUAAUCAGAAAGCCACGGCUAACUACGUG